RNAcentral lists this ribosomal RNA (401 nucleotides) under Paenibacillus polymyxa. Its description in RNAcentral is "bacterial SSU rRNA". It matches the Rfam family "Bacterial small subunit ribosomal RNA", at positions 1 to 388 of the family's 1533-position model. Lineage: Bacteria; Bacillati; Bacillota; Bacilli; Caryophanales; Paenibacillaceae. The record is from RNAcentral.
UUAAUGGAGAGUUUGAUCCUGGCUCAGGACGAACGCUGGCGGCGUGCCUAAUACAUGCAAGUCGAGCGGGGUUAAUUAGAAGCUUGCUUCUAAUUAACCUAGCGGCGGACGGGUGAGUAACACGUAGGCAACCUGCCCACAAGACAGGGAUAACUACCGGAAACGGUAGCUAAUACCCGAUACAUCCUUUUCCUGCAUGGGAGAAGGAGGAAAGGCGGAGCAAUCUGUCACUUGUGGAUGGGCCUGCGGCGCAUUAGCUAGUUGGUGGGGUAAUGGCCUACCAAGGCGACGAUGCGUAGCCGACCUGAGAGGGUGAUCGGCCACACUGGGACUGAGACACGGCCCAGACUCCUACGGGAGGCAGCAGUAGGGAAUCUUCCGCAAUGGGCGAAAGCCUGACG